RNAcentral lists this ribosomal RNA (254 nucleotides) under uncultured bacterium. RNAcentral describes it as "partial 16S ribosomal RNA". It matches the Rfam family "Bacterial small subunit ribosomal RNA", at positions 15 to 249 of the family's 1533-position model. The record is from RNAcentral.
GAUCCUGGCUCAGGAUGAACGCUAGCUACAGGCCUAACACAUGCAAGUCGAGGGGCAGCAUGAUUGAAGCUUGCUUCAAUUGAUGGCGACCGGCGCACGGGUGAGUAACACGUAUCCAACCUUCCGCUGACUCGGGGAUAGCCUUUCGAAAGAAAGAUUAAUACCCGAUAGUAAAGGAAUUUCCGUCCAUGGAGUAUUCUUUUAAAGGUAAGUUCCGGUUCCGAGCGAUGGGGAGUGCGUUCCUAUUAGUAUAG